RNAcentral lists this transfer RNA (72 nucleotides) under Mesocricetus auratus (golden hamster). It matches the Rfam family "tRNA". Rfam says of the family: Transfer RNA (tRNA) molecules are approximately 80 nucleotides in length. Their secondary structure includes four short double-helical elements and three loops (D, anti-codon, and T loops). Further hydrogen bonds mediate the characteristic L-shaped molecular structure. tRNAs have two regions of fundamental functional importance: the anti-codon, which is responsible for specific mRNA codon recognition, and the 3' end, to which the tRNAs corresponding amino acid is attached (by aminoacyl-tRNA synthetases). tRNAs cope with the degeneracy of the genetic code in two manners: having more than one tRNA (with a specific anti-codon) for a particular amino acid; and 'wobble' base-pairing, i.e. permitting non-standard base-pairing at the 3rd anti-codon position. Lineage: Eukaryota; Metazoa; Chordata; Mammalia; Rodentia; Cricetidae. The record is from Rfam by way of RNAcentral.
GUGAGAUGGCUCAGUGGCUAAGAGCACUGACUACUCUUCCAGAAGACCUGGGUUCAAUUCCCAGCACUCACA